UCUUGCAGAGGUCAUGUGUUAUCUCCAUGUCACCAAGUCAAAGAGACGUUUUAUUUUAGCUCUCAUUUUUUCCUGAGUUUCUAGCAGCAUUUGAUGCAAAUGUCUGCUUCCUCCCUCCCAAACACUGGCUUCCUAACCUCUCUGUUUUAUUCCAUUUUCCUAGGUUUUCUUGCGUGACUCUAGAUAGCUUCCUUAAACUCAUUUUCUGGCUCCUUAUUUCUGCAUGAAUUUUCAUGUUGAAUUUCCACCAAGUGCUUAUCCAGACGGAGUGCUUCCAUUAUCAUCUAACUGUUGAUGCCACCUCCUUUGAGAUUUUUGGCUUAGCUUUUACAACCAAGUAUUUAUCAGGAAUUUCCCUUUAUGUAUCUUAAAGAAUCUUAAAUUCACCAGAUCACAGAUAACAAUCUGGAUGUCUCUGAGUCUACUAAUUUGUGCUCCAAACUAGUCUUUCCUUGAAGUUCCAUAGCUAGGAAAAAGUAUGUUCAACUCCAUAACUUCAACAGAUAUUCCAGGAAAAUCUUACUACUCAGUAACAGGGAAGAGUAUGAUCAUUCUUCCAAGCUUUCCUGAGGACUUGAGACUUAUUAACAGAAUCAUUGCACAUUGAAGAAUGCACAAUAUCUACUUUAUCUAGAUGUUAUUAUAUAAUAGCACUGCUAGAAUGAUACAAAAUAUCCUUUCAGUUUGCUGGACAAAAAGGAAGCUCCUUAAAGAAGUAGGUGAACAGUGGGUUCAGGGCACGAAUUUAUUUCACAGUGGAUCCAAAUAGACCACGACUUAUCUGAGGACUAUUUCCAAAGUCCUGCAGACUAUAAAUCCACUUAACACCUGUCAGAAUCUUCACAUGGGUCUUCCUACAGGUAAAGUAAAGCUGUUAUGAAAAGAAGUUCUCAGGUCAAAGUUCCUGGAAAUGUCCUCAGCUCCAAAAUAAGUUUGUCUGGAAUCAAAUUGUCUGGGAGAGUAGCAGUUUCCUGACUCCAAGAAGACUUCUCAGCGCCAAGGUGGGGAUUUCUAUCACACCUUCAUUUAACUUGCUCGUUCAGCUGGAAGAAAAGCCAGAUGAAUUUUAAAGAAUGACUUGGAUUAUCACAAAUUUAAUCAGCAGUGAUAACAAUCACAGAUGCUGUACCAGAUGUGCUUCCUUCAUUGGAAUAAAUCAACAUAGCCUCUGGCUGCGCAUCUGCACCAUGCACCAUAGACUGAGUAAACACUCUUUGUAAUACCCAUCAAUAAAGAUAAUCAGACACAGUGUACCUUCUCUUCAGGGAAGCCGUAAACCUGUACCUUUUGAUCACUGGGUUAUACCAAACCUCCUGCUCUGUGAAACAAUAUAGUCUUGAGGAAACUUGAUUAUUCAGAUAUCCUACAGAAUCUCUUGCUAGUCUGUUAUCUUGGUAGCUUCAUGCUAAGUGGACUUGUGUGGAAGUGUUUACAAGAAAUCUGAUUGGCAACACAGGGGUCAUUGUUAUAGGUGUUCAGAUAUCUGCAUAUUGACACACAGACUUCUGGGAAUACAGCGAAGUGUUCUUCAAAUUAAGACACCAAUUAGCUUAGCAAGCCUGUAAUAGGUCUCUCAAUUUGGAUGCAAUAUGUAUCAUGUUGGAUUUUGCGGCCACUACAGCCCAGCUUUGAAAAGAAUGUGAACAAAUAAGAGUCACUAGAGACCAAGACAUCAUCAAAAUUGUCUUUGACCUUAUUUUCUAGCUCUCUCUGUGACACUGAGGGAUGGCAGGGAGAGAGAUGUUUUUUAAAGCCUCUAGAAAGCUCCAAUAGGAAAAUUGUAUCUAGAUCUAAGGGUGUUGAGAAAGUCCACAGCUACUCCUGAUGACAAUAUUUUACAUUCAAAAAGUACACCUUGUUUUUCUCUCAGGCUAUGGUAGACACUGAGUAUCUGAUCAGAGGAUAAUGGUCAUUAUGUGACCCAAGCUGUACAUACUGGCUCUAUAUGAUCUACUACAUCCUAAAAUGUGAUUUUGAAUAUGCAGAGAACAUUUCAUUACAAAUGAUGGGAGACUGGAUCUAAGCAAAUACAAGGGGCACAAAUAAAUUUUUCAUUACGGACUCUCAUCUUGGACUUGUUGCUAUGUGUUUGUUCAGAUUCCUAGGCAAUCUCUUCCUAUGGAUUAUCUACCUCUUAUAUAAGUGGUUCCAAGAGGAAGAAAAGUAUAAGGCUGACCUACAGAGAGAUCAUCACAGUAUGUCUCCAUCAGCCAAAAGUUAACGGACCAGCCUUGGAAGCUAAGAGGUAGGAUUUCCAGCAGUGCACCCACUCAUGUCUAUAUCCACAGAAGAGGAAGUGCCUUGAUGCUCAGCUCUUCUUGGACUUUUGGUAGUGGUUGAUCCUCUUCCAUGAAUGUAACAUCAGUGGGUGUUGGUUAAACACACAGAGGGUUCAUAACUAUUCAUGUUUGUUUUUAGUGCUUCAUUAUCCCCUGUUGAGUCCCUUUCACCUCCUCCACUGCUAUAAAUUUCUUUUCAUUAACUCAGUCAAUUAUCCUUCCUUACUGUAUAUCAAGGCCAUCUGUUUGGGCCAGAACACCAACUGAUAUACUUUAUAAACAGCUCUUGAAUCUGUCUAAUUUUCUGAAUCUCUAUUAUUAUCAGGCUAGUCUAAUAUCAGCAUCAACUCGAUUCUUACUACUGUUUCUAAAAGUAUAUACGAAGUUACCCUCACACUAUGAGCACAUUUUGUACACAACUGGCACUUCCAAGCACCAGUUCCUCCAAGGCCUGUGGGACACCACAUAUCUGUUGCUCUUUCCAAGAGAGUGAGUGUGGACCCUGAAAUCAUCAGCUGGAUUUGCAGUGUGGCUUGCGCCAGCCAGUGGAAAUCUAUAGGCUGUAACUGUCAGGGAUGCUUGGUGUGCUUGUAGGAGUAAUGUGUCCACCUGUGCUUCUGCAUUCACAUGAGAAGAACACGCUCUGGCCAUGCAGAAUGAGAAGCACACAGAGCUGACCGGAAACUACCCUGGAGCAUGCAGCCAGAGCCAGCUGACUGGAGUGAAGUUCAUCACAUGUGCUGGUUUUUAAAAGUGAAUGAUUAAGAAUUACCCAACUUCUAUGAAUUUAGGAGCAAAUCAAUUAAAAUGAGGUAAUAAUAACCAUGAAACAAUUUUGAAAUAUUUGAAAAACCUGCCGCUAAGAGGACCGGGUUAAAUUGUGCAUGAUUUGUCAGAAAAGUUACACAGAGAAAAAAAUGCUAAUAGCAAUCUUGUUUUUUUUUAAAAAAAGAAUUUCGUGAUUUCUUCAUAUUCGAAGCAACUUAAUAGAGCAAAAAGAAUAAGGCUUUGAAAUAGCACGGGCGUGGCCUUGACCUUAAAUCUCGGCUUAGCCAGCUGUAAUUGUGAGACACUGUGGUACUGAGCCUCUUCUCUGAGCUUCUGCUUCCUUUUCUGUCUCACACCCUCAUCUUGCUCAUCUCCGAAGGCCACUGGGAACAUGUCCGGAAUAUGUAUGUAAAACUUUUGCCGUUAGUUGUUAAUUUAAAAAUAGACAUUUUAAAAGAAUAAAAGCAGAGGUGAGGAGAGGAGAAAGGAAGUUGUUUCCAUCAAAUAAAAUAAUGAAAAAUUAUUUUCCUUUUGUGAGAGCUUUACAGCAUGAACAAACUGGAAGAGCUUACACCUCCCCAGACAGUAGUGAUAAAAUUCACAUACAUUAUUGAGCAGGACUAUCUGGUAGUAGCCACCCCUUAACCUACCUUUUAAAAUGCUUCCCAAGCAUUGUGACUAGCAAUCAAAUUCAGGCAUAACGAUCCAGACUCAAUGAGGACUAUGCCACGUUCUUGUAGGAUGUUUUAAGGCAAUUCAGCAGAAAGUCGGUUUUAAGAAUUGUGGAGAACUGUUGUACUCCAAGGUAAAGUUUCUGAGAAGCUUCGAGGAAACCAGGCCAACACUUUCCACAUGUAUAAUUCUGAAAAUAAGACAAAAGAGGCUGUUUGGAACCCAAAGUAGGAACCCAAAACUCUGAUUUUGAUAAAAAGACAAGAAGUAUAACCAGAAUGAGUCUGCUUCAAGCAUCCAUCAGGCUGGGUCUUCACACAGCUGCAAAACAUCAAAGCAUUUAUUUGAAUGAUUUAGGAUUGAAGAAUGAAAAGCUUCUGGGCUGCUAUUCUGAUUGUCUCAACAAGUACUCUAGAAAAAUGGUCUAACCCUUGACUGCUUUAUCAAAGGCAAAGCAUUUCACUUUACAGGAGAAAUGACAUUGCUGGCAAACAUUAACAGCCUCACAUUCGUGUUUACUGAGCCGCCUUCUCUGCUCUGGUUUGGUAGCCCGUCUCACCUGGAGGGUGUGCCAUCAUUUCUGUUCUCCGCAGAAAGCGAGAGGCUUGCCUUGUGGUUGGCUGUACUCACCUCCACGUGGCAGCAUGCGUGUUCUAGAAGCAAAGUCGUGGGACUCCAAGAUGAAGAGCCCUGGAUUUUGAGACAGACUGAACCACAGCUGAUUUGUGGCUUUUCACAAGCCGCCUCAACAAUUUUCAGCAAAGUUUACUUCUUGGUAGAAAAAGUGGAUAGGUUGACAUCUCUCCUGUCCCAUGAUCACGCUGUCCCAUGGAGCUGCUCUGUGAAAAACUGAAGUGACACCCAGGAGCUUGUUGUAGUAGUUCUGGGUGGCUGUUAGCAGUCCACAUGGCCAUGUGGAUUUGCAUUGCAGGAGCCAUUGCAAUCCUAAGAGUCCUGUUUAUUCAGUGGUACCUAACUACAUGCCAAGAAGGAGUGAUCUACAUUCCCCUCAGGGACUCAAAAUAGAUGCCAUCUAGUCCCACUUACGGCUAAUAGAAAGAUAUCAACAAAAGUGAAUUCCAACUCACUUUCCUCAGGUUAGCUACAAAAAGCAUUGGACAGAGACCAUAACACUUGAGUGGCCGUUCAUUCAACAAAUACUGGGUGUCAAGUAUACUCCAGCUUGGUUUAGGAACCGGGCAGCCAGAAAUAACAUGCGUACACACAAUGUUCUCCUUCCAGGAAAAUUCUGCCUCCUGGGCAAAGCUGAUGGGUAGCAUGUAAACGAGCCGUGAGACGCUGUGCCGCAAACCCGGGGCUGCUGCAGCAGUGAGAGCGGGGACGUGGAAUUCACGCUUGGGGAUCAGAGAGAGUGGCACAGGCUCACCGGGGCUGCUAACCUGACGGGACUCGGGUGUGGCUGGGGAGGGAGGCAGACGCAGCCUCGUGGACCAAGGGCAAGGCUUUCUGUGUGCCACGAGGGAGUGGGAACCUUGCUCUCCUGUUGCUCCUAAAGUGGAAUGGGCCACCAGUGGGUGGGUGGAUGUACACAAUGAGAUUUUGUUUAAUAAACUGACUCCCAUUGGAAUGUGACAAGCUGAAGGGGCAAGUGACUUGAACCAGGAGCUGAUGGGUGACCCGCAUCACUGAAGACAGGGAAGGUCGUGUGAUCAGGGUGUGAACACACAUGGACUCCCGACCUGGAUGGCGCUGACUCAAAACUUGUCUUCAGACUCCACGAGGCUGUAAGACAUUUAUUAAACUGCCCUCUGCCCAAGACUUCUCAUUUGUAAAAUGAAGAAAGAAAUAGAUACAGUGAUAGUUUAAUGAGUAAUAAAUACUUAGGUAGAGUAAUCAGUAGCCUACUGAGUAUAGUAUACUUAGAUAAAUAAAACCGUAACAGCAGUGAUGAAGUACACACAUGAUUGCCCUGGCUGGAAUGGCCCCCUUCCCAAUGCAUACUCCAUGGUUAUUUGUAGAAGUCCUAACUUCCAGUGUGACUGUUUUAGAGACUAGUAAUUUAAGGAGUAACCAAAGUUAAUUGAAUCAUAAGCGUAAGGGUCUGAUAGGACCAGUGCCCUUGUAAGAAGAUAAAGAAGCACUCGACAUGUCUUCUUUUCUGCAUGAACAAAGAAAAGGCCACAUGAGGAUGUGGCAGAAAGGUGGCUGUUGCAACUCAAGGACAGAGCCCCCCCCAAACCUGACUCUGGUAGCCCCUUAGGUAUGGACUUUUGCUUAAGCCCAUCACUCAGCCCUUGCAAACUAAAACAGGCUGUAUGAGACAUGUCUUCUCUUAUUAAGAGGGCAAUCAAAACAUAAACAGAAAAGGUAGGCCUGAGUUGAAGAGGACCUCUAAUUUUUAUACUAAUGAUUUUUAUGUCAAUAAAAAGUCAAAGCUGAGAGCUGCCCCUGACUAAUGACUUGAGCUUCUAUUAGUUAUGCAACCUCAGGAAAGUCCAGGGAACCGGGUCUCAGCACCUUCAUUGAUGAGGUAUGAGUAUGGGAAACAGCACUUGAGAAACUCUCACCUCCCUUUUAAUACCAUGCUGUAUAAUAUUUACAUUUACUUAUAUACUACUAGCAAAACCCAUUCAUCAAAUGUUUUAAAAUAGUCAGUGUUUAUUGUGUCUGUUAUAAAUCCUAGCCACUAGCCAAUUAAAUAGUUAGCAUCAGAAGUUGAAAUGAUUGAAUAUUUUACUGUCAUAAUUCUUCCUUAUUAUGGAAAUAAUUCCAGAUUUCUUACCACUCACUUAAGUAAUAAAUGAUCAUAUUUUCAUAACCCAAA
This is a long non-coding RNA of Cavia porcellus (domestic guinea pig), 6504 nucleotides long. RefSeq lists it as uncharacterized. The transcript is spliced from 2 exons. Lineage: Eukaryota; Metazoa; Chordata; Mammalia; Rodentia; Caviidae. The record is from RefSeq and is a predicted model, not a curated record.